AGCGGCGCAGUGGUUAAAGCACUUGGCUGCUAACCAAAAGAUUGGUGGUUUGAAACCACCAGCUGCUC
RNAcentral lists this transfer RNA (68 nucleotides) under Loxodonta africana (African savanna elephant). It matches the Rfam family "tRNA". From Rfam's summary of the family: Transfer RNA (tRNA) molecules are approximately 80 nucleotides in length. Their secondary structure includes four short double-helical elements and three loops (D, anti-codon, and T loops). Further hydrogen bonds mediate the characteristic L-shaped molecular structure. tRNAs have two regions of fundamental functional importance: the anti-codon, which is responsible for specific mRNA codon recognition, and the 3' end, to which the tRNAs corresponding amino acid is attached (by aminoacyl-tRNA synthetases). tRNAs cope with the degeneracy of the genetic code in two manners: having more than one tRNA (with a specific anti-codon) for a particular amino acid; and 'wobble' base-pairing, i.e. permitting non-standard base-pairing at the 3rd anti-codon position. Lineage: Eukaryota; Metazoa; Chordata; Mammalia; Proboscidea; Elephantidae. The record is from Rfam by way of RNAcentral.